GACGAACGCUGGCGGCGUGCUUAACACAUGCAAGUCGAGCGGAGACAUUGCACAUGAAGUUUUCGGAUGGAUUGAGUAAUGUUUUAGCAGCGGACGGGUGAGUAACGCGUGAGCAACCUUUCCUCUACUGGGGAAUAACACAGGGAAACUUGUACUAAUACCGCAUGAGACCACGGCGGGGCAUCCCGCAGGGGUCAAAGAUUUAUUGGUAGAGGGUGGGCUCGCGUCCGAUUAGGUAGUUGGUGAGGUAACGGCCCACCAAGCCGACGAUCGGUAGCCGACCUGAGAGGGUGAUCGGCCACAUUGGGACUGAGACACGGCCCAA
RNAcentral lists this ribosomal RNA (325 nucleotides) under uncultured bacterium. RNAcentral's name for it is "bacterial SSU rRNA". It matches the Rfam family "Bacterial small subunit ribosomal RNA", at positions 28 to 334 of the family's 1533-position model. The record is from RNAcentral.